AACGAACGCUGGCGGCAUGCCUAACACAUGCAAGUCGAACGAGACCUUCGGGUCUAGUGGCGCACGGGUGCGUAACGCGUGGGAACCUGCCCUUAGGUUCGGAAUAACUCCCCGAAAGGGGUGCUAAUACCGGAUAAUGUCUUCGGACCAAAGAUUUAUCGCCUUUGGAUGGGCCCGCGUUGGAUUAGCUAGUUGGUAGGGUAAAAGCCUACCAAGGCGACGAUCCAUAGCUGGUCUGAGAGGAUGAUCAGCCACACUGGGACUGAGACACGGCCCAGACUCCUACGGGAGGCAGCAGUGGGGAAUAUUGGACAAUGGGCCAAAGCCUGAUCCAGCAAUGCCGCGUGAGUGAUGAAGGCCUUAGGGUUGUAAAGCUCUUUUAACCGGGAUGAUAAUGACAGUACCGGGAGAAUAAGCACCGGCUAACUCCGUG
Molecule: ribosomal RNA, 433 nt
Filed under: uncultured bacterium
Lineage: Bacteria
Description: partial 16S ribosomal RNA
Rfam family: Bacterial small subunit ribosomal RNA
Source: RNAcentral